This 1204-nucleotide ribosomal RNA is filed under the name Arthrobacter sp. SS-2009-PON2. RNAcentral describes it as "bacterial SSU rRNA". It matches the Rfam family "Bacterial small subunit ribosomal RNA", at positions 312 to 1521 of the family's 1533-position model. The record is from RNAcentral. Lineage: Bacteria; Bacillati; Actinomycetota; Actinomycetes; Micrococcales; Micrococcaceae.
ACUGGGACUGAGACACGGCCCAGACUCCUACGGGAGGCAGCAGUGGGGAAUAUUGCACAAUGGGCGCAAGCCUGAUGCAGCGACGCCGCGUGAGGGAUGACGGCCUUCGGGUUGUAAACCUCUUUCAGUAGGGAAGAAGCGAAAGUGACGGUACCUGCAGAAGAAGCGCCGGCUAACUACGUGCCAGCAGCCGCGGUAAUACGUAGGGCGCAAGCGUUAUCCGGGAAUUAUUGGGCGUAAAGAGCUCGUAGGCGGUUUGUCGCGUCUGCCGUGAAAGUCCGGGGCUCAACUCCGGAUCUGCGGUGGGUACGGGCAGACUAGAGUGAUGUAGGGGAGACUGGAAUUCCUGGUGUAGCGGUGAAAUGCGCAGAUAUCAGGAGGAACACCGAUGGCGAAGGCAGGUCUCUGGGCAUUAACUGACGCUGAGGAGCGAAAGCAUGGGGAGCGAACAGGAUUAGAUACCCUGGUAGUCCAUGCCGUAAACGUUGGGCACUAGGUGUGGGGGACAUUCCACGUUUUCCGCGCCGUAGCUAACGCAUUAAGUGCCCCGCCUGGGGAGUACGGCCGCAAGGCUAAAACUCAAAGGAAUUGACGGGGGCCCGCACAAGCGGCGGAGCAUGCGGAUUAAUUCGAUGCAACGCGAAGAACCUUACCAAGGCUUGACAUGGACCGGUAACACCUGGAAACAGGUGCCCCGCUUGCGGCCGGUUCACAGGUGGUGCAUGGUUGUCGUCAGCUCGUGUCGUGAGAUGUUGGGUUAAGUCCCGCAACGAGCGCAACCCUCGUUCCAUGUUGCCAGCGCGUAAUGGCGGGGACUCAUGGGAGACUGCCGGGGUCAACUCGGAGGAAGGUGGGGACGACGUCAAAUCAUCAUGCCCCUUAUGUCUUGGGCUUCACGCAUGCUACAAUGGCCGGUACAAAGGGUUGCGAUACUGUGAGGUGGAGCUAAUCCCAAAAAGCCCGGUCUCAGUUCGGAUUGGGGUCUGCAACUCGACCCCAUGAAGUCGGAGUCGCUAGUAAUCGCAGAUCAGCAACGCUGCGGUGAAUACGUUCCCGGGCCUUGUACACACCGCCCGUCAAGUCACGAAAGUUGGUAACACCCGAAGCCGGUGGCCUAACCCCUUGUGGGAGGGAGCUGUCGAAGGUGGGACUGGCGAUUGGGACUAAGUCGUAACAAGGUAGCCGUACCGGAAGGUGCGGCUGG